This 1432-nucleotide ribosomal RNA is filed under the name Klebsiella variicola. Its description in RNAcentral is "bacterial SSU rRNA". It matches the Rfam family "Bacterial small subunit ribosomal RNA". Lineage: Bacteria; Pseudomonadati; Pseudomonadota; Gammaproteobacteria; Enterobacterales; Enterobacteriaceae. The record is from RNAcentral.
GGCGGCAGGCCUAACACAUGCAAGUCGAGCGGUAGCACAGAGAGCUUGCUCUCGGGUGACGAGCGGCGGACGGGUGAGUAAUGUCUGGGAAACUGCCUGAUGGAGGGGGAUAACUACUGGAAACGGUAGCUAAUACCGCAUAACGUCGCAAGACCAAAGUGGGGGACCUUCGGGCCUCAUGCCAUCAGAUGUGCCCAGAUGGGAUUAGCUAGUAGGUGGGGUAACGGCUCACCUAGGCGACGAUCCCUAGCUGGUCUGAGAGGAUGACCAGCCACACUGGAACUGAGACACGGUCCAGACUCCUACGGGAGGCAGCAGUGGGGAAUAUUGCACAAUGGGCGCAAGCCUGAUGCAGCCAUGCCGCGUGUGUGAAGAAGGCCUUCGGGUUGUAAAGCACUUUCAGCGGGGAGGAAGGCGGUGAGGUUAAUAACCUCACCGAUUGACGUUACCCGCAGAAGAAGCACCGGCUAACUCCGUGCCAGCAGCCGCGGUAAUACGGAGGGUGCAAGCGUUAAUCGGAAUUACUGGGCGUAAAGCGCACGCAGGCGGUCUGUCAAGUCGGAUGUGAAAUCCCCGGGCUCAACCUGGGAACUGCAUUCGAAACUGGCAGGCUAGAGUCUUGUAGAGGGGGGUAGAAUUCCAGGUGUAGCGGUGAAAUGCGUAGAGAUCUGGAGGAAUACCGGUGGCGAAGGCGGCCCCCUGGACAAAGACUGACGCUCAGGUGCGAAAGCGUGGGGAGCAAACAGGAUUAGAUACCCUGGUAGUCCACGCUGUAAACGAUGUCGAUUUGGAGGUUGUGCCCUUGAGGCGUGGCUUCCGGAGCUAACGCGUUAAAUCGACCGCCUGGGGAGUACGGCCGCAAGGUUAAAACUCAAAUGAAUUGACGGGGGCCCGCACAAGCGGUGGAGCAUGUGGUUUAAUUCGAUGCAACGCGAAGAACCUUACCUGGUCUUGACAUCCACAGAACUUUCCAGAGAUGGAUUGGUGCCUUCGGGAACUGUGAGACAGGUGCUGCAUGGCUGUCGUCAGCUCGUGUUGUGAAAUGUUGGGUUAAGUCCCGCAACGAGCGCAACCCUUAUCCUUUGUUGCCAGCGGUUAGGCCGGGAACUCAAAGGAGACUGCCAGUGAUAAACUGGAGGAAGGUGGGGAUGACGUCAAGUCAUCAUGGCCCUUACGACCAGGGCUACACACGUGCUACAAUGGCAUAUACAAAGAGAAGCGACCUCGCGAGAGCAAGCGGACCUCAUAAAGUAUGUCGUAGUCCGGAUUGGAGUCUGCAACUCGACUCCAUGAAGUCGGAAUCGCUAGUAAUCGUAGAUCAGAAUGCUACGGUGAAUACGUUCCCGGGCCUUGUACACACCGCCCGUCACACCAUGGGAGUGGGUUGCAAAAGAAGUAGGUAGCUUAACCUUCGGGAGGGCGCUUACCACUU